GUUAAAAAUAUAAAGUCUAACCUGCCCACUGAUAAUUAUUAAAGGGCCGCGGUAUAUUGACUGUGCAAAGGUAGCAUAAUCAUUUGUCUCUUAAUUGGAGGCUGGAAUGAAUGGUUGAAUGAAAUAUUAACUGUCUCAUUAUUAAAAAAAUAAAAAUUUAGCUUUUAAGUUAAAAGGCUUAAAUUAUUUUAGAGGACGAGAAGACCCUAUAGAUCUUUAUAUUUAUAAUAAUUUAAUAAUUUGAAUUAUAUUAAUUAAUUUAUGAAUAAAUAUUUUAUUGGGGUGAUAGGAAAAUUUAAUAAACUUUUUUUAAUUUAAAACAUUGAUUUAUGAAUAAUUGAUCCAUUUUUAGUGAUUAUAAGAUUAAGUUACCUUAGGGAUAACAGCGUAAUUUUUUUAGAGAGUUCAUAUCGAUAAAAAAGAUUGCGACCUCGAUGUUGAAUUAAAGGUUAUUUCUAGAUGUAGCAGUUUAGAGUUUAGGUC
RNAcentral lists this ribosomal RNA (483 nucleotides) under Ceraeochrysa cubana. RNAcentral's name for it is "partial 16S ribosomal RNA". It matches the Rfam family "Bacterial large subunit ribosomal RNA", at positions 1838 to 2577 of the family's 2925-position model. Lineage: Eukaryota; Metazoa; Arthropoda; Insecta; Neuroptera; Chrysopidae. The record is from RNAcentral.